Molecule: ribosomal RNA, 468 nt
Filed under: uncultured bacterium
Lineage: Bacteria
Description: partial 16S ribosomal RNA
Rfam family: Bacterial small subunit ribosomal RNA
Source: RNAcentral
GACGAACGCUGGCGGCGUGCUUAACACAUGCAAGUCGAACGGUGAAGCUCCAGCUUGCUGGAGUGGAUCAGUGGCGAACGGGUGAGUAACACGUGAGCAACCUGCCCCUGACUCUGGAAUAAGCGCUGGAAACGGCGUCUAAUACUGGAUACGAGAAGGGUCCGCAUGGGCACUUUCUGGAAAGUUUUUCGGUUGGGGAUGGGCUCGCGGCCUAUCAGCUUGUUGGUGAGGUAAUGGCUCACCAAGGCGACGACGGGUAGCCGGCCUGAGAGGGCGACCGGCCAAACUGGGACCGAGACACCGGCCAGACUCCUACGGGAGGCAGCAGUGGGGAAUAUUGCACAAUGGGCGAAAGCCUGAUGCAGCGACGCCGCGUGAGGGAUGACGGCCUUCGGGUUGUAAACCUCUUUCAGCAGGGAAGAAGCGAAAGUGACGGUACCUGCAGAAGAAGCACCGGCUAACUACGUG